UUGUGAGGUUAAGCGACUAAGCGUACACGGUGGAUGCCCUGGCAGUCAGAGGCGAUGAAGGACGUGCUAAUCUGCGAUAAGCGUCGGUGAGGUGAUAUGAACCGUUAUAACCGGCGAUUUCCGAAUGGGGAAACCCAGUGUGUUUCGACACACUAUCAUUAACUGAAUCCAUAGGUUAAUGAGGCGAACCGGGGGAACUGAAACAUCUAAGUACCCCGAGGAAAAGAAAUCAACCGAGAUUCCCCCAGUAGCGGCGAGCGAACGGGGAGGAGCCCAGAGCCUGAAUCAGUGUGUGUGUUAGUGGAAGCGUCUGGAAAGGCGUGCGAUACAGGGUGACAGCCCCGUACACAAAAAUGCACAUACUGUGAGCUCGAUGAGUAGGGCGGGACACGUGGUAUCCUGUCUGAAUAUGGGGGGACCAUCCUCCAAGGCUAAAUACUCCUGACUGACCGAUAGUGAACCAGUACCGUGAGGGAAAGGCGAAAAGAACCCCGGCGAGGGGAGUGAAAAAGAACCUGAAACCGUGUACGUACAAGCAGUGGGAGCCUCUUAAUGGGGUGACUGCGUACCUUUUGUAUAAUGGGUCAGCGACUUAUAUUCUGUAGCAAGGUUAACCGAAUAGGGGAGCCGAAGGGAAACCGAGUCUUAACUGGGCGUUAAGUUGCAGGGUAUAGACCCGAAACCCGGUGAUCUAGCCAUGGGCAGGUUGAAGGUUGGGUAACACUAACUGGAGGACCGAACCGACUAAUGUUGAAAAAUUAGCGGAUGACUUGUGGCUGGGGGUGAAAGGCCAAUCAAACCGGGAGAUAGCUGGUUCUCCCCGAAAGCUAUUUAGGUAGCGCCUCGUGAAUUCAUCUCCGGGGGUAGAGCACUGUUUCGGCAAGGGGGUCAUCCCGACUUACCAACCCGAUGCAAACUGCGAAUACCGGAGAAUGUUAUCACGGGAGACACACGGCGGGUGCUAACGUCCGUCGUGAAGAGGGAAACAACCCAGACCGCCAGCUAAGGUCCCAAAGUCAUGGUUAAGUGGGAAACGAUGUGGGAAGGCCCAGACAGCCAGGAUGUUGGCUUAGAAGCAGCCAUCAUUUAAAGAAAGCGUAAUAGCUCACUGGUCGAGUCGGCCUGCGCGGAAGAUGUAACGGGGCUAAACCAUGCACCGAAGCUGCGGCAGCGACACUAUGUGUUGUUGGGUAGGGGAGCGUUCUGUAAGCCUGUGAAGGUGGCCUGUGAGGGUUGCUGGAGGUAUCAGAAGUGCGAAUGCUGACAUAAGUAACGAUAAAGCGGGUGAAAAGCCCGCUCGCCGGAAGACCAAGGGUUCCUGUCCAACGUUAAUCGGGGCAGGGUGAGUCGACCCCUAAGGCGAGGCCGAAAGGCGUAGUCGAUGGGAAACAGGUUAAUAUUCCUGUACUUGGUGUUACUGCGAAGGGGGGACGGAGAAGGCUAUGUUGGCCGGGCGACGGUUGUCCCGGUUUAAGCGUGUAGGCUGGUUUUCCAGGCAAAUCCGGAAAAUCAAGGCUGAGGCGUGAUGACGAGGCACUACGGUGCUGAAGCGACAAAUGCCCUGCUUCCAGGAAAAGCCUCUAAGCAUCAGGUAACAU
Molecule: ribosomal RNA, 1598 nt
Filed under: Escherichia coli
Lineage: Bacteria; Pseudomonadati; Pseudomonadota; Gammaproteobacteria; Enterobacterales; Enterobacteriaceae
Description: partial 23S ribosomal RNA
Rfam family: Bacterial large subunit ribosomal RNA
Source: RNAcentral